UUCCUCCUCCUCCUCAAUCUCUGGAGCUUUCAUUUUUGUUUCCAUUUAGGCUGAAAUAUUAAGUUAAUGAAUAAUCAAGUUGCAUUGGCCACUGCAGUGGUCAACUGACUUUGUAAUGUCUUAUUUGGGGGUGGUGGAAUGGACACUUCUGCUACUACAUAUAGCUAUACUAAUGAUAUCAUUACUGUUCAACCGGUUUCUUUACCUGACCCCCACUGCUGAAGGAGAUGGGUUUUCUUGUUGCUAACGAGAACAGUCAACCACAGAAUCCAAUUCUCAGUUUCACCUAACACUGAACGACACAGAGUCAAAUUAAGCAUGACUUUGAGUCCGACUCUUCUGAACUAACAUAUCAUGUAAUGCUGGUGAGCCUUCAAAAGAGCUGCUAACACAGACAUAAUUAAAACUGCCACACUACUCCGCAGCAGAGGCUCUGUCCAGCAGCCUGGGCUACAUACACAGUGGAUGAAAAGCACUUUCCAUGGGCCGUCGCUAAGCUGACGCUAUAUACCAACUCCCUGUUCGAGGAUUUGCUUGCUAUUAUCUCUUUUUAUCCCAGGGGGAAAAAAAAACAAUUCUGCCCAUCAGAAAGAAGAUUACAACAAGCCUUGAUACAAGGCAUCAUCAUCAUCUAAUCACUGGUAUUAAUAAAUGGCUCCAAACCAAAGAACAAAAGCACAUCAGUAUCAUGUAAGCAGCAUAUGAUGUCUACUGAGCCAUAAAAAACAUGACCCACUGCUUUGACCGUCCACUGCUCCACCUAUCAGGCGUUUGUACUACAGUGUAAUAAAGGGUAUCUAAUACGCUUCCAUUGCUCACAGUCUUCCUGUCGAAGGGCAUGGAUGUCCGACAGCACAGAAUUAAAAGAAACCAAGUCAAAGAAAAUGAAAAGUUCAACAUGGUUGCAGGAAAACCUCGCAGAAGGUCAAAGCUGCCAAUCAAAGCGAGCCGUACGGCACAUGAGAAACACAUAGAAAUGGGCCUUUUUUCUCCUAAAAAGGACAAACGUUGAAUGCUCUUUUUGAAAUGCAACGCAGACCUGUGUUCUGGCUGACCUUAAACUGCCGGCUUGCCAGAGACAGUAAGCUGAACAUCUGUAUUAUGUGUUAUGAAAUGAACUCUGCCAAGGUUGCAGAAAAUACUUAUUUCUGAUUGGCUGGUAUGUGUGUGGGUUGGGUUGUUUAUUUUUUGUUCACCCUACAAAUAGAUCUAAUCAAAACUGAACGGGUGAACAUCGCCAUGACAACAACAGGGAUUGAUGGUAGCAGUUGAUUGAUAGCCAUCCUUAUUAAUGCAUAGCAACACAAAUGUAAAUCAAAAGGCAGUAUAAAAAAAUGUGGAGAUAAAAACAUGAAAACAGCUUACAAAGGCAUGGAUAUAUGGUUUCCUUGGUCUGAAUGGAAUAUCAUCCUGCAAGGUGUUCCAAAUCCAAUACAAAUACAAAAAAAUAAUAGAGUUCUUUGACUCUGCCUAAUCCAUUAUUUGUGCGUGUCAGGGCACCUUGUCAGAUAUUUCCCCUCACAUAUGUCUCUGUUUUAAGCCAACACUAAGCCAACACUACCUGAAACAGCUUCGUCUAGGUCUUACCUAGUUAUGCCUUUAAUGAGUGAAUAUAAAAACAACCAGGCAGAGAGACAAAAGCACUAGCGACACAGAAGUUGGCCUACUUUAGUCUAUUUUUGGUUAUGUUGGUUAUAUUUAGAAAGCAUUUACUCAGUUUACACUCCACUCAAAUCUUAUAAGGAAAGGGGAUAUACCAGUGUUGACAGGGGGGGGGGGGGGGGGGGGGAGUAGGGGAGCAAUCAGGAUAAAAACAACAAAAGUCCCUCCCUCUUCUACCACAGCCGGGAUGUCCCUGAUACAAAGCUCCCAUGAAAAGCUUUAAAGAAAAUAACUCUUUAUAAACUGUUCUCGAUGCAUUUUACAUUUAUACAGACUUGGUGGAUACUCAUUAUGUACUGUGAACCUACUUAUAACUCUACAUAAAUGUUAAUUGUGUGUUCAUCAUUAAAUGUGUGUUUAGAUACACCCAAAAUGUGCCACCAUACUGUCAGAAGGCUUUUGCAUAUCCCAACAGUUAAAUAUUUUAAAUUGUAUCCCCUCAUUACCCAUGGUAAAAUUAAAUAGCACAUAUUCUAUUUCCCUAUUACUGUCACUUCCAAGAGAUCCACACGAUUAGGAUAGCUAAAGCAAUUGGCAUUUUAUAAGGAGUCAAAUGUACCAAUGAAUUCAUUAAUUGAUUCAUGAAUGGGUAUACAAUCCCUUAGGUUACUUAAAAUAAAGCAUAACCAUUCAUGCCAUCGAUAAUAUCAUUAUUAAAUUAUUAUAAUGUAAUGGUACAAACAUUUCAAUCACAAAGGCCAAGCCAAGCAUUUCCAGACAUUAUGAGUACCUUAUCAGCCUGUAGUAAGUAAAGUGUAAGCAUGUAUGGGGAAAGCAACAUAACAUAUGGAAAAUAAAACAUGAGCAGGGCUUUGGUGGGUGGUAUCUGAGCAUUCAUGCAGGAUGGUGGGGAGAGGGUUUGCCUGCCAGGGCACAGGGUUACUGUACUGCUGCCCAGCAGCUCUUAUGGCUCUAAGUGAAGCGUUUAACCCCACCACUGGACCCCUAGAGGGCUCAUGACCUUGCACUACAGCCCCAGUCUCUGAAGAGUCCAGAGUCCCUGAGCUUAUCCGGAUCCCACUCUGAUAUGGUCCAGAUCUCUCCCUGAUGCGGUACAGAACUCACGUGGAAACACGUCAAAACAACUAAGGGUCCACGCUUGUUGUUUGGGUUUUUGAAAUAUACACAACAGCAGUCGUACAGAGGGAUUCUCUCUCAGAUGGGUUGACAUGCACUUCCUGGUAUUAGUCACACCGCUUGCAUAAUACAGUGGGAGCGCUGAGGCCAGUGCAGGUGCAAAUUCCAAAGCCCCUUCAAAGUUACCUCUGACAGUUUUGACAGGCCCUGACAUCCUCUGUCAUAGUAAUGUCCCAUUUGUUGUGGGCAAGGCAGGUUAUGUCGACGCCAGUUUUCUGCCCAGUGGGUAUUUUGGGCUGGUGGUGCCUUUGUUUUCUCUUCCAUAUUAGACAGUCCCUUUAGGCAUGAAGCAGUGGCCCCUUCUGAUAUCUGCCCAAUCUAGACCUGGCACAAGUACAGUCAAAUGCAAUCAAAGCAUCAGGUUGAGAAGCUAAAUUACACUUCUACUUCAUUGGCUGCAAACGCGUUUGCCUUGACUGACUAAAAAGGUGCUGGUUUUAAUGCGAAGUGGGUAUCCACAUAUUGUUAGCGUGGUCCUUCAUGCUGCAAAUAAAUCAUCAAUGAAUCUGACGGAUUAAGUCAAGCACAUGCCAGCCACGCAGACAGGCUGAGCCUUUGAACACAGGAUGGCUAAAUUAUACAUGACAGGUACAUGAUAACUAAAGUUGGGCCAAACAUAUUUAUGGCCCUACAAGCAAUCUAUUUUACUAGGGAGCUUGUGGGGGUUUUAUACAAGCUGGAGGCAUCAAAUUAGUCAGCUUAGUAGAUCUUAUUUGCAUUUUGGACACAUCAUUGUCCACAUAUCUAGAAAAAUAACUGCAUAAUCUUGACUUCUACUGCAGGACUGUGAAAGCCAGUGUAAUAAUUUGUUAUUAGCAAUUGAUAUCUGUGUUGUAGGAAAUGAGCUGCAUGUUGGUGCUGCACGUGUGCUGCGUGUUUUUAUGCACACUUCAGUGGGACGCUUUGAAUUCAUUGAAGGUCAUUUUUUAUACAACAUUUUUAAAUUUUAUAAGCUUUUUCCCAAACCCACUUCUGUGCACCACCACACAAUGCUUUACUAAGGUAUUGCUUAUGCAAGCUCCACUGUCUGCAUUCUACACUGACUAAUAUAUUUCCCUCAACAACCUAGACAAAAUCUGUGGGAGUAGCCUAUUGAUCAUAAACUGCCAUCCUCUGCUGAAACAAAUGCUUAUUUCUGUAUUUCUCUUUCUUAUCAAAACAGAUUUCAAAUAUAAAAGAUGUUCAAAUUUUCAUAAACUAUCAGAAACAUCUAAAAAUUGACAGCAUGGCUGUUAAUCUUUAUCAUCUAUGCUCCACACCUCUGCUCUCGAAAGGUUACCUCACUUCCACCACCCACACCAUAGUCACAGUCUCUAUGUACCCUGUGAAAUGUGUGCUAACACAUGUCUCCGCCAAAUGAAUUACUACAUUUGGAAUGCGAUCAGUGUUGUCCCCUGGUUAUAAAGUCUGCAUUAGGAUCCACCUCAUAGAGCAGCAUUAGGGGAGACCUGAGGACUCAGUGGCAUGCCAGAAUAGACGAGUACUGAACAGGCUAUAAAACCAAAGAGCCUUCCGGAUAAUGAGAUCACGUGACGUCUCCGAACCGUUACACCUUCAGCGAUGAAAGAGCCAUUGUGGCUUGAAUGUCCCAUUGUACCUUCCCCUUGGCAGUGUCUUCCCAGUGCAUCAAUCACGCCCUGACAACGGUAAUUAAUCUUAAUGAAAAUAAGUCACGUUAAGUGUUGCUGUUGUCUUGAUAAUGUCCAUUCACUGGGCCACUUCUACGUGCAAAUUCCUAUAUAAAAUGUUAAAUGAGAGGAGAUGGGACACAUAUCUCAUACAUGCACCUUCCUGUAAUGGGAGACACAUUUCUGAGAUCAGAGAUGAGAAAGAAGGGUAAUAGCUUGAAAGCUCAUCUUACAGGGCCUUGUAAUUCUAGCUCUCACCCAAAAGCACCAACAUGCAACCACUCUGGGCCUAAAGGGGGUCAUCAGAGCACAACAUUCUGAGGACUCCCACCCUCAAGCCAAUUCAAGACAAAAACAUAUCCUGCAAUCUUCGGCAUUAGUAGCCGCCAAAAACACAUUACAAGAAGCAAGUGAAGUAAACAACCUUAGAUUAGAAACCUGAAGCCUGAAGGUAGAGUUAAAACAGUAUCUGAGAUUAUACUUCUUAUUCGAGGGAGUAAUAGUAGUAAUAGUAGAGGUACUACUGGAAGUAAAAGUACUAAUAAUGAUAAUGCCAGUAGAAGAAUUAAUAGUAGUGGUAGUAGUAGUAGUAGUAGCAACAUCAGCAGUAUUAUAAAUAGUUGUAGUAGCAUUUAUUCAUUCAUUCAUUUAUUCACUCAUUUUGGUUGAAGGUGACAAGCCUAAUAAAAAGUUCUACACUGAACUGGUAGGUGUUAUCAGUUAUUGCUCCCAAAUAGCUCUAAAAGUGGCAGAAGCUAACAGCCUACAUUUUAUCUUGCUCUGCAGGUCAAUUAUUUCUCUGUGUUCAGCAAGUCUAUUGAUCUCAGACCUAUAUGGAUCCUUGGCAGAAUAACUUUCAUGGAUGCACAAACUCACAUUCAAUGUCAGAUGCACAGACCAUAGAGGAGACCACCACGAUACUAUACAGUAAAAUGCAAUGAAAUCCCAUCUGGACCAGUCCAGCAAAGAAAAAUAUCUACUCCCAACAGAAUGGCAGCACCCGUUGCCGUGUAGAGUUAGCAAUACUGAUCUAGCAUCCAACUUCCACGAACACAGUAGAGCAGUCAUCCACCCUGGGCCCAAUCUGAUAUCUAUGUUUGCAUGGGAUGCAGCUGCCACUGGCGAUUUGGAUGGCUCAGGCAGUCUAUAAUCAGCCCCAUGGCAGUGACAACUAUUGCUGCACAGAGCUCAUCUAGCUGUCUCAAAUGUCUCCAGCAUCUCAAAAGCACUCAGCGUAGCCCUCAGCCCCAUAGCACGAGCUGACGCACACACACACCACACACACACACACACACACCAAAGCAGUGGCACUGUCACACAUGGUCUCUAGAGUCUGGAGAUAAAACAGGCCUGGUUUUCACAGUAGCUUGCAGGCCACUGAUGACAAGCACUUGAUGCCACAUUACAGAAAUAUGGUGACUCUAUGCCAUGUAUUUGACCAGUGAGGUAAUUGCUGUGCAUUACUCAUCAAUAUCCCUGCAAUAACUCUGAACCAGCUGCUCUCCAGAACCAGUAUGUAAUGAAUGUUUCUCUUCUUAUCCAUAUGACAUUAGUGACUAAUCGUUCCCCCUACUAAUGCAACACAUGCUUCUCUCUGUAAUAGACUAUAGGCCAGGGCCAGAUCCUCUGGCUAAGAUGGUAAUUGUACCCUCCACAUCUCCAUAUUCCAAAUCAACAACACACACCUGCUGUGGGCUCUGCAGUGUCACAUCUGCCAGAGCUACCAGGUAUCAGCUACAGUCAUUGCAGAAAUUGCAGUGUGACAAUUUAGAAAGUGUAGCCCAUAGGAGACGAGUAUUUUUUUUAAAUUUGUUUUGUACUUGAAGAUUAUUUUUAGUUUGUUCUUUAAAUUGAACACGAAGUAGGCCAGCUGAAAUUGCAGAGCUGGUUUUAUUAUUCAGGUGUAUCAGCAAAGUAAAGCAAACCUGAAUUAAUUAUCUCUCAAUCGAAAUCAGAAACAGAAUACAUUUAGCAAGUGUUGCUGUUGCUUACUGCUACAUGUUUCAACUGCUAUUUAAAAUCCGCAUUUCAAGACGUUAUCGGUGAGCACUUUAUAUAGGCCACUUCUGUGUAGGCUCGUUCUAGAGAUAUAAUCUGAAGAAUAUCCUGGGCUUUUCCACCCCACACUCUUUUAAAAAGCUUAAAAGGGUACACGACCUACAGUUACAAAAACUAGUUAGAGAACAACUAAUUAUGUGACUCUGAGUAAUCUACCAGUGUCCCCCAGUGGUCAGUGUUGCUGCCAGCACUAAAACGCACUGACUUGCGCUGCCGUUAACUUGCUGGAACGGGCGCUGCGUUGCUGCAGACACGCCCGUGGAGGUUCAGUAGCAGGAUUUGGGCUACAGCCGCCUGUCUGUCCAGUGUCAAGCACCAUACACAGCUCCAGCCCUGAUCAUGAUGUAAGAAUUACAGUAUGGGGCAUGUCGAGGGCAUCUUGUGACCAUGCAGAUGUUGUAGUGUUGCUGAAUAGAUUAUGAUGAAAAGCUUUCGAAAAUAGCCGAUUGCCUCUGUCUCAAUUCUGCCUUGUAUUAUUUGUGUUACAUAUCGUGAUACCAUGAACAUUAUGCCACUGAAUAUCACUGCUAAAAUAAGUUUCAUGAUGUGUAAGGCUUUAUUCGCGUCAUGUUGUGUGUAGCCUACGAAACUUCGUGAGAUGUAUUCAGACAUCAUACCAACACAUACCACUGUACUGCCUAAGGUCAGAUGGAAUGCAUGCAGGGACAACAAUGUCCGACACGUCAAGAAAGUGUAUAAUAACCUCUAAACUACCGACAGAUCGACUUUCCUGCCCUAUUGAUUAGUAUAGCUAGUUCACUCCCCUUUAAUUAAUAAACGUCGCGUUGCUUAGUAUCUUAUGUUGGGUGGUUCAUUUAAUUAACAGUAGGCUAAUUCAAUUGAAACAGCUUGUCAGAAUUGCGACAGGCUUAGCCUAACCAGAGUCAAAGACGAAGUCUUGGGAGAUUAUCUGUGUUUGCCUAUGCGGCAAACAUCUCAUGGCAAGCACUAACCUAUCUGUCGAUUCCACGAAACUAACUGAAUCUAUUUCCUCUCAAAAAUAUCAAUUCUAUCUCUAGAGCCGUCACUGAUGCAACGUGGCAAGAUAUUUAUAUCGACCUGCUGUCGCACAAGACAUUUAAAGAAAUGCAGUAGCGGUCAGUAACUGUAAAGACUUGCAUUACCUUUGCCCUGUAGCAUUAAUAUGACUGCCAAGUUGAGGGGCAGUCGGCUCUCCACAAAGGCGCCCAAAUUCUCCCCGUCCUAAAUUCUAGUCUUGGGUUACAGUACUCACAAUCCAGAAGAUAUCAGCCCGAGUCAGAGCUGAACACUAAAACCUCCGUUGGUUUACAGAGAUGCCAUGAAGUCUGAUUGAAGGAAUGAAUCCUUCAAAUUCAUCUUCCAACGUUACUUUUUAAAAUCCAAUGGGGUUGAUUUAAGAGAUAGGACGGACGCUUUCCAACAGUCUAUACCUUCCCCUUCGGUUGCGACGUUUACUGCGCCGUAAUCCAAAUCCAAUCCUUGGGAGACUGGACACGAUGUGAAUGAAAUCCAAAUCCUGGUCUGUUUUCAAAAAGAUUUCUGGUUACAGCUGUUCCAUAUCAAAAGACGAUGCCAAACGAAUCCACAUACCGAUAAAACAUUACGGUAAUUAAGAAGCGUAUUUCUUGCAGCGUCUUGCAGUCUGCGUCUGUACAGUUUGGCGACCAAUCCCAUCUGAGAAACGCAUCACUUCAAAAUCCUAUCAAAGCAUCGACUGUGAAGAAAAAGACUAAGAAGCCAAGAACGAACGAAGGGACGAACGAACAGACCAGGCGAACGAACGAACGAACGGACGGACGAACGGACGGACGAACGGACGAACGAACGAACGAAGGAAUGAAGGAACGAACGAACGAACCGGGCUGCCACGGAUAAGAAACAGACGAGAGCACGCCAUCGCAACGGAGAACUCCGGUUGUUGGGUGAUCAAUGCUCAUAAGUCCUGAGCUAAGGGACGUAAGCUUUCUUUUAUCUUUGAACGUUUUAUGUAUACUGUGCACGUGGCCUGCGGAGUGUUGAUCCCUUGCCUGGUUACCCGAGGUUUGCUGGCUGCCAUUGCCGAAUUGGAAGUGCAGGAGCUCCACUGACAUCCAUCGGAACCACGAGAAGCCAACGUCGUGAAUCACUCAACGCUCACGAGAUGCAGCAUAAAGGAAAGUAAAUUGUCUACCCAAAUCCUAUUGCGUUGUACAUGGGACCGACUGAGUUAUAAUUAUUCCUUUUUCCUCUGGUGUUUGUGGCUGACUGUUCCGGGAGGCCGUGACUGACGUCACUGGGGAACCACCAGGGAAUCCCAUCUUCAAGUAGGGGGCUCUCUACAGUCUACACUGAACGGAUAACGGCCGGAUCAACUACAAAUGGACCCCAGCUGUCUGACAGCUCGUGACUGGACUAUCUUGUGGAGAUGGAAUGACUGAAGACUGCUUUUAACACUUAAAUUAUAAUAUACGUUUUAAUACCAAAUAAAAGUAU
Molecule: long non-coding RNA, 8939 nt
Organism: Clupea harengus (Atlantic herring)
Lineage: Eukaryota; Metazoa; Chordata; Actinopteri; Clupeiformes; Clupeidae
Source: Ensembl